UAGAAGAAAAAUAGACGUUGGGGAACCCUCCCAUCUCUUCUUCGUCGAAACAGCUUUGACGCCAAAAGAGAGAGAGAGGGAGUCGAGGAGGAGGCAUCAUGGCUUUUGGGGUUAGUUCGGUUGGAAAAGGCAUCUCCUUCUAGGCAGCAUGGUUGAGCAGGCUGUCUAUCAAAGGCUAUUGCUUCUUGUGCUUCAAUGGUCGUAUCAACAACUUUUGUAAACGUGAAGAAGAUGCAUGUAUGUUUCCAAAGUUUUAGGUUUCUAGAGGUAGGAACUGGAACUACUGAUGGUGCACUACAUUAAGAGUUGAAGGUGAAGAACAACAACAAGGUGGAGGGGAGAAAGUUGUAAUUAACAGCUUGGGAUUUGGAAAUGCUAUCCACUUCUUAUAUACAAAAAGGGCUACGUUUACAAAUCCUCUAGGCUGUUGGAAGCCACCACCGAACGCCGCCUCAAGUCAUCCUCUCCCGAUGCCUCUUGCACUUCCCCUUGUGAGACUACCAACUUCGUUGAUUGCUGUGAUGAAGGUGUAUGGUUUGAUGUGUUUGAUUGCUGUGACGAAGGUGUAUGGUUUGAUGUGGCCGCUGCCGAUGGGGUCGGUGUGUUGAAGUUGAUGAUGGGGUCGGUGUGUUGAAGUUGAUGUCCGCUGGUGAGGUUCAAGUCAUUGUCAAUUCCUUGUUGCCACUGGUUGAUGGCAUGAUGAUCAACUUUGAUGAUUACUUUCUGCCUCUCCUUGCAGUUCAGGAUAUGGCGUUUUUGUGCAUCAACGGAUUCAGACUGUCUGCCCUUGAGCGGUGCUCCCUUUCUUUUUCCCCCAUUGGUUCUUCCUUAAUGCGUUCCUUAGACGGAUGAGCCAGCCAGUACGUGAUCACAGUCGAUAACUUCUUUGUCUCCAGACGCUCAUGUUAAAGUCGGGGAUGGCUACCUCAAACAGGAGAAAAGUAAGUUAGGGUUUCUCAGGCUGGGAUGCUCGAUGUCUUGGAACCUUGGCCUUGUCAUCCUCUGCCCACUCACAAUCUCAAGGACUAUGACCUCAAGACAGCUGGGUUGGGACAAUUGAAAUAGGAAAGUUCUAAUUCAAUAUCAGACGGGGAAGAGAGUUUGAUCUUAAAAGCAAUCACAAGGGUUUUGAUUUUCGUUCUACUUGGUCUUCUUGUAGUGUGCAUGAUUGUUGUGGGGAUGUGCCUAGGGUUCCGACCUUGACUUGCUCUGGUUUUUAAGGAUCGGAUUUAGGAAAAUCAACAAUUGAAUGAGAAUCGAGCCACUCGCUUUUGCCGCCACAGUUUUGGUCCUUAUUUUUUUGUUCGGUUUACUAACUACAGUUGUCUUUUCCUGUAGAGCACCUCACUGUCAGUUAACAAUAUUCUUGCAUGUUGUGGGUCUAUGUGUGGAGGUGGCUGUGAUGGAGGCUGGCCUAUCAAUGACUGUCAAUACUUUGUCCAAAAUGGCGUCGUCACAGAAGAGGGACCUUUCUGUUUCCUAGAGGGGAAUUAAUUUUGAUGGAGUUUUUUCGUGCAAACAUGCUUCUGGACAGCAAUAUGAAGAAUGCAAUGAUAUAGCUACCAAAGGUGAAUGGUGGUUGUUGGAUUGAUCGUGCGCGCUUUUGCUGUGCAGGAACCUCAAAAGCAUUGCUGAAUGAUCAGGUUCAAUACCACUGGCAUCCAAGAUUUCAAGCAUCAAACUGAGGUCGAUUCCUCAAAACAUUUCUGUGCAAUCAUAUUACGAGAAACACCUGCAGAAAAUCCCGUGUUCGACAUGAAUUCCUCCAAGCGCCUUGCAUUUGUCAGGUAGAGGUAACUGAUCA
Long non-coding RNA from Nymphaea colorata (pocket water lily), 1804 nucleotides. RefSeq lists it as uncharacterized. The record is from RefSeq and is a predicted model, not a curated record. The transcript has 5 exons. NCBI's taxonomy places the organism in Eukaryota, Viridiplantae, Streptophyta, Magnoliopsida, Nymphaeales, Nymphaeaceae.